RNAcentral lists this long non-coding RNA (293 nucleotides) under Zea mays. RNAcentral describes it as "long non-coding RNA (ZMAY_LNC001581)". The record is from RNAcentral. Lineage: Eukaryota; Viridiplantae; Streptophyta; Magnoliopsida; Poales; Poaceae.
CGCCUUUUUCAGUCGUCGCUUCAAGUUCUCAUCUGAGGGAUUGUUUUCACCGUUCCAACGCAACCUCCUGUAAUGCGACCUAACUUACCAUUUGCUCUGCAAAACACAUGUUAGUCAUAUAUAAUCUUAUGUUGUCAUUAAUAACUAAAACCAACCUGGGGCCUAGAUGCUUUCAUAACCUAAGAACUUCGCAAAGCACAUAUACUAAUCAUCGAGUGAUUCUAUUAAGCACUUGGGUGUAUAGAGCUAUUGGAAAUAUGUUUCUACACUAUAGAAAUGUUCUUGAGCUCCCC